UACGGAGGAUGCGAGCGUUAUCCGGAUUUAUUGGGUUUAAAGGGUGCGCAGGCGGCACGGCAAGCCGGCGGUCAAAUCGCGGGGCUCAACCCCGCCCAGCCGUCGGAACUGCCGGGCUAGAGUGGGCGAGAAGUGCGCGGAAUGCGUGGUGUAGCGGUGAAAUGCAUAGAUAUCACGCAGAACUCCGAUUGCGAAAGCGGCUCUCUGGCCUGUAACUGACACUGAGGCUCGAAAGCGUGGGGAGCAAACAGG
Molecule: ribosomal RNA, 252 nt
Filed under: uncultured bacterium
Lineage: Bacteria
Description: partial 16S ribosomal RNA
Rfam family: Bacterial small subunit ribosomal RNA
Source: RNAcentral